RNAcentral lists this ribosomal RNA (643 nucleotides) under bacterium HN3-5-19. Its description in RNAcentral is "bacterial SSU rRNA". It matches the Rfam family "Bacterial small subunit ribosomal RNA", at positions 338 to 974 of the family's 1533-position model. The record is from RNAcentral.
CCUACGGGAGGCAGCAGUAGGGAAUCUUCCACAAUGGACGAAAGUCUGAUGGAGCAACGCCGCGUGAGUGAUGAAGGUUUUCGGAUCGUAAAACUCUGUUGUAAGGGAAGAACAAGUACGUUAGGAAAUGAACGUACCUUGACGGUACCUUAUUAGAAAGCCACGGCUAACUACGUGCCAGCAGCCGCGGUAAUACGUAGGUGGCAAGCGUUGCUCCGGAUUUAUUGGGCGUAAAGCGCGCGCAGGUGGUUUCUUAAGUCUGAUGUGAAAGCCCACGGCUCAACCGUGGAGGGUCAUUGGAACUGGGAGACUUGAGUGCAGAAGAGGAUAGUGGAAUUCCAGUGUAGCGGUGAAAUGCGUAGAGAUUUGGAGGAACACCCAGUGGCGAAGGCGACUGUCUGGUCUGUAACUGACACUGAGGCGCGAAACGUGGGGAGCAAACAGGAUUAGAUACCCCUGGUAGUCACGCCGUAAACGAUGAGUGCUAAGUGUUAGGGGUUUCCGCCCCUUAGUGCUGCAGCUAACGCAUUAAGCACUCCGCCUGGGGAGUACGACCGCAAGGUUGAAACUCAAAGGAAUUGACGGGGGCCCGCACAAGCGGUGGAGCAUGUGGUUUAAUUCGAAGCAACGCGAAGAACCUUAC